RNAcentral lists this long non-coding RNA (682 nucleotides) under Sorghum bicolor (sorghum). Its description in RNAcentral is "long non-coding RNA (SBIC_LNC010892)". The record is from RNAcentral. Lineage: Eukaryota; Viridiplantae; Streptophyta; Magnoliopsida; Poales; Poaceae.
GAGAUAUACCGUCAGAUCAAGUUAGUCGCGAUAAGCCCUGUCGGUAAAAAGUUUUACCGACAGACUACCCUUUCAACGACAGACAGUCUGACGGAGAGAAAAUCACCGACAGACAGUCCGAUGGAGAGAAAAUCACCGACAGACAGUGUGUUACCAGUUAUGCCGACACACCGUGCGAUGUUAUAAUUAUAUUUACCGACAGAUUGUCCAACAGAAAGUUUAAAACUAAAUAAAAAAAUAAAAUGCAGCGUAGGAGAAUCAUAACAUACUAAAUAUGCAUUUGACUAAUCAAAGAUCCAUCAUAUCACGUUCAUCUCCAUAAAUUUAGUCCCCAAAUACAUGGAUCUCCAUAUGACAUGAAUAUAGUUGUCUUGGACAAUUGCACCAAGUCAUAAAUUAAGCACAAGUACAUACAUGGCAGCAUAUCCAAUUUACACCAAGUCAUAAAACAUAAAUGGGAGCUAUACUAGAUUGUUUGCAGUAAACAAUCACUUUGAUAGACAUAGCAACCAAAAAGAGAUGUAUGGACCCAACAACAGGUUCUUGCCCUCCCAACGAGUAAAGUCCACAAGUUGUUCCAAAAGCUCAUAAAACAAAAGAAAUACUUGGAUCCAAAUGCAGUAGUUGCGCAAAAUUUGGCAUCCCAUUCAUUUGUAAGCAGCUAGUGGCGCCCAAUGCUACC